Molecule: small nuclear RNA, 19 nt
Filed under: Arabidopsis thaliana (thale cress)
Lineage: Eukaryota; Viridiplantae; Streptophyta; Magnoliopsida; Brassicales; Brassicaceae
Description: snRNA_02623
Source: RNAcentral
UCAUCAGAUAGGAGCGAAA